UAUUCCCGAGAGAGGAAAACACUCUUGGGAGAGAGAAACAUAACCCCAAUUGUUGCAAAAUGUCAUUCAACGAUGUAACAGUUCCAGAUGUGAGAGCUUAAGCAAUAAUACGGUUCCAAGUUGUACAAAUGGACAAAAAUAACCGUACAAGUGCAAGAUUAAAUUAGCGAGAGUCAAGCUUCAUCAGCAUUAUUAGGUACAGUAUGUCCAUUACUAAUUAAUUAGUUAAUUGUCAAUAUAUGCCCAAUGAAUAUUUAUAUAAAUUUUAUAAUAUUGACAAUAUUAAAGUCAUAUAAGCCUAUAUACAUAUGUGUAUCUUAACGUGUAUUAACCAGGCUUAUCAAUACACAGCAAUCUCCGCACUCAACAGAACAGUGAGCACUUCAUCCUAAUACAGAGGAUAACCUCCAAAAGGAUAACUCAUAACACAAGAUGCAAGUGUCUGUUGCCAAAUCAAUUGGGUUGUUGCCACAAUAUUGUCAACACUAUUAUACACUCAACAAGAAAAAGAGCGGAAGAGAACUUCAAGGUUGCGAGGGCUCCACAUAAGGUUGACGUAGACCACCAGCAAACCCCAGAGUCUCAGUACAUCCGCAGUAACAAUGUCUUCAGGAAGAAAAGUCUAGACGCCUCCGAAAAGCACCUCUGCAUUAGUUGACACAUAUAGAAGGCUUCAUUCACUUCCAAUCACAGGUUAUAGAAUAUCAAUGUCAAGGCAUGAUCACCUAUAUCAGUGUAUCUUAUGGACUGUAUCAAGAUGAUGUUUAUCGUAUAAAGUAAUGUUAUUAUCAGAUUUUAAUGGACACAAAGUAUAUAGUGCCAUAAUAAAUUGACACCCCAAUAUAAUAUCCAGUCGAACUGAAAAUUAUAAGGACUCAAAAACAAAAAGGAAAUAGUAUUUUAUAGGCAGCGGGUCACACAAUUCACUAUAAUUCAUAGUCUAUUGUCUUCCGCGGAUGUUUAGACACCAGAAUAUUUACAAUACUAAAUUAUUUGGAUUAUAGUUUCCAAACUUUAUUAAAGAUUGUGAAAAAAUAGAGUGCAAGAUGUCAAAAACAAUUCCAUAUCCAGCUAUAUCAUGCCAUAUGGCCGAGCAUUACGAAGACUCAAUAACACUGACAAAAUAGAAUUCUAUGGACAGUCUGAUCACGCACUUAACUACAAAGUAUUCAAUCAUCAAAAUGGAUGUGACUUGUUGAUUAGCUAGACACGAAUGUAAUAUAGUAUAUCUGAUGUCCUGUUAAUACCAAAUAUUGCAAAGGCAAAGUGAAUUGCCCAUAAAUAAUUAUGCAUGAAGUGCAUAGAAAACCAUUGAGCUGGUCAUUAUGAGAUUCAGAGUCAAUACUGGUGGGCAAUAGGAUCACGCCCUACAUAAGCACACAAAAGCACUUUCCGGUAUCAUCGGGGUAUAAAUUUUCACUAAUGAUGAAAAGGCGAUUAUUACAUCACUCAGAAGAAAGAAGGAAGUAACAAGGCACACAUGAUCCAUCCUACUAAUGUUAUAGCGAUAGACAAAAUCCCAGCUAAUUUACACAUUAUGUGUCGAAAAUAAUAUUAGGUUUUCACUUAUGUUAUUAUCAGAUUUUAGUGGACACAAAGUAUAUAGUGCCAUAAUAAAUUGACACCCCAAUAUAAUAUCCAGUCGAACUGAAAAUUGUAAGGACUCAAAAACAAAAAGGAAAUAGUAUUUUAUAGGCAGCGGAUCACACAAUUCACUAUAAUUCAUAGUCUAUUGUCUUCCGUGGAUGUUUAGACACCAGAAUAUUUACACUACUAAAUUAUUUGGAUUAUAGUUCCCAAACUUUAUUAAAGUUUGUGAAAAAUAGAGUGCAAGAUGUCAAAACAAAUUCCAUAUCCAGCUAUAUCAUGCCGUAGGGCCGAGCAUUACGAAGACUCACUGACAAAAUAGAAUUCUAUGAGCAGCCUGAUCACGCACUUAACUACAAAAAUUAUUCAAUCAUCAAAAUGGAUGUGACUUGUUGAUUAGCUAGACAUGAGUGUAAUAUAGUAUAUCUAAUGUCCUGUUAAUACUAAAUAUUGCAAGGCAAAGUGAAUUGCCCAUAAAUAAUUAUGCAUGAAGUGCAUAAAAACAUUGAGCUGAUCAUUAUGAGAUUCAGAGUCAAUAUUGGUGGGCAACAGGACUACGCCCUGCAUUAGCACACAAAAGCACUUUCCGGUAUCGUCGGGGUAUAAAUUCUCACUAAUGAUGAAAGGCGAUUAUUACGCCGCUCAGAAGAAAGAAGGAAGCAACAAGGCAUACAUGAUUCAUCCUACUAAUGUUAUAGCAAUAGACAAAAUCCCAGCGAUUUACGCAUUAUGCGUCGAAGAUAAUAUUAGGUUUUCACUUAAAUCACAUUUAUUAUAUAUUUAUCAUAUAUUAUUAAUUAAUUAGAUAAAACACUGUAAAUCAGCUAAAAGCUUUAUACUGUAUUUACUUUUAGUACGUUUAUAAGACUAUAAUGCACAGGUUAAUUUAUAUUACUAGUUUAUUAUAUGAUAAGUAUUCAAAAUUUAUUGAAUUAUAGUAUCUGCGAAACCAAA
Molecule: RNA transcript, 2541 nt
Organism: Nylanderia fulva
Lineage: Eukaryota; Metazoa; Arthropoda; Insecta; Hymenoptera; Formicidae
Source: RefSeq, a predicted model, not a curated record